This 504-nucleotide ribosomal RNA is filed under the name uncultured bacterium. RNAcentral describes it as "partial 16S ribosomal RNA". It matches the Rfam family "Bacterial small subunit ribosomal RNA", at positions 29 to 523 of the family's 1533-position model. The record is from RNAcentral.
AUUGAACGCUGGCGGCAGGCCUAACACAUGCAAGUCGGACGGUAGCACAGAGAGCUUGCUCUUGGGUGGCGAGUGGCGGACGGGUGAGUCAUGUCUGGGGAUCUGCCCGAUAGAGGGGGAUAACCACUGGAAACGGUGGCUAAUACCGCAUAACGUCGCAAGACCAAAGAGGGGGACCUUCGGGCCUCUCACUAUCGGAUGAACCCAGAUGGGAUUAGCUAGUAGGCGGGGUAAUGGCCCACCUAGGCGACGAUCCCUAGCUGGUCUGAGAGGAGGACCAGCCACACUGGAACUGAGACACGGUCCAGACUCCUACGGGAGGCAGCAGUGGGGAAUAUUGCACAAUGGGCGCAAGCCUGAUGCAGCCAUGCCGCGUGUAUGAAGAAGGCCUUCGGGUUGUAAAGUACUUUCAGCGGGGAGGAAGGCGGUGCGGUUAAUAACCGUACCGAUUGACGUUACCCGCAGAAGAAGCACCGGCUAACUCCGUGCCAGCCGCCGCAGUAA